UGGAUACUCCUUUCUAAGGAUAAGGAAACCUGCCAUUUGUGUCUUGUUUAGUUUUGAGAGGUCUUGUGGGGCCUUAGCUCAGCUGGGAGAGCGCCUGCUUUGCACGCAGGAGGUCAGCGGUUCGAUCCCGCUAGGCUCCAUUGAAUCGAAAGAUUCAAAUUGUUCAUUGAAAAUUGAAUAUCUAUAUCAAAUUCCACGAUCUAGAAAUAGAUUGUAGAAAGUAACAAGAAAAUAAACCGAAAACGCUGUGAAUAUUUAAUGAGUUUUCUAGUUUUAAAGAAACUAGGUUAAUAAGGUUAAGUUAAUAAGGGCGCACGGUGGAUGCCUUGGCACUAGAAGCCGAAGAAGGACGU
RNAcentral lists this unclassified non-coding RNA (353 nucleotides) under Streptococcus agalactiae. RNAcentral describes it as "partial contains 16S ribosomal RNA, 16S-23S ribosomal RNA intergenic spacer, and 23S ribosomal RNA". The stretch from base 68 to 140 matches the Rfam family "tRNA". Lineage: Bacteria; Bacillati; Bacillota; Bacilli; Lactobacillales; Streptococcaceae. The record is from RNAcentral.